GGAAGAGAUAAAGAGGAAUAGGAAAGAGGCCCAAUUUAAUAUCAAACUGUUACCUCUCUCAUAUACAAAGGGUAACCAUUGCCUUCAUGACGGAACCAACAAAGCACGUCCUCCAGGAACCCUGACCACAAGGGAAGCCGCAGGGCUUUUGCUUAAUAAGGAAGCUUUCUUGCUGCAAGGUACAGGCCCGGUUGGGUCACAUUUGGUUUUAUGCAACGAAACCCGAAGGGGAACUUCUGCUCGCUGGGUUGCUACAAGCAGAGCUGCAACCAUAUCCUGUAGCUCAAGAAGCAGGGGAAAACAUCUAGGGCUCGCAAUGUGGAGAGGGGGGCACGCAUGCAGUCGACAAGAGGCACAGUAAAACCAUCUCUGCGGACGGCAGUUCGGCAGGGGCUAGCAACAUUCCGUGUCCUCUAAACAGGAACAGAACAGCGCCAGAAGAGCAUCCUGCAAAAAGGAGUGUGGAGUGAAAACCUCCGGGCUUGACGACAGUCAAGGGUCAGGACAAGAAGUCAGGGAAGGAGACCAAGAAGUAUGGCAGCCGGAAAGCAAGGCAUCAAAGGAGUUUAGGGAGACUUCCCAGGGAGAGGGAAGGACUCAUCAAAUAAAUGGACAGUGCACAGAGCAUGAAGGUUUAGCAAGAAGAUCACCAGUGACCUUCAAGAGAACCUUCUGGAAAGUAGCUGACUGGAUGCUGAAUACGAGGAAAUGCAUGCAGGGGACGGAGGCAGUGGCUGUACCUCUCGUUUGGAAUGGUCAGAGAAGCCGCGUGCAGCAGCUACUGACGAGGCGAGCAGCUUCCGGACUGACUUCUGGGGAAAUCUGCAGUUCUUCUGAUGUGUUCUGGGGGCAAAGGAACUCCAGGAAGGUUCGAGUCCCUAUUUAAAACCAGUUCUAAUGACUGAACACUCAAAACGGCAGUAACGCAGCACGCAUCCUCAGAUGUGUUCCAGGCGCAAAUGUGUGCUGUGCAGACCCUCCGUGUGUGCGCGGGGGCUGUCGGGGCUGCUCCCGUGCACACAGACCUCGGGGUCAACAGUCCCUGUCACGUCUGUGUAACGGAAGAACAUCUGGGAUUGGAAGGAAGGCUGUCAAAACAAAACUGACGUUAGUCGCAAAUUCUAAGCGGGAUGAAGUCAAGAUUUCUGUGUUCUGUGCAACCAAAGCCAAACAUAGAAACACACCGGGCGCUGGGAUUGAAGUACACAAACUGUUGUUCACAACCUUAGGUGUAAAAUGCUUUCUGUCCGGGCGCCUGCGUGGCUCAGUCGGUUAAGCGUCUGCCUUCAGCUCAGGUCAUGAUCUCGGGGUCCUGGCAUCGAGUCUCGCAUGGGGCUCCCUGUGCAGCGGGGAGUCUGCUUCUCCCUCUGCCCCUCCCCCUGCUUGUGUGCUCGCGCGGACAAAUAAAUAAAAUCUUUAAAAAUAAAUAAAAAAGUAC
Molecule: long non-coding RNA, 1438 nt
Filed under: Ursus maritimus (polar bear)
Lineage: Eukaryota; Metazoa; Chordata; Mammalia; Carnivora; Ursidae
Description: lncRNA (ENSUMAG00000010024.1)
Source: RNAcentral